GACGAACGCUGGCGGCGUGCCUAACACAUGCAAGUCGAGCGGAGAUAGACUGAUGGUAACUGAAGCUUAUCUUAGCGGCGGACGGGUGAGUAACACGUGGGCAACCUGCCUUGGAGUGGGGGAUAACACCGGGAAAUCGGUGCUAAUACCGCAUAACAUACACAAACUGCAUGGUAAGUGUAUCAAAGGAGUAAUCCGCUUUAAGAUGGGCCCGCGGCUGAUUAGCUAGUUGGUAAGGUAACGGCUUACCAAGGCGACGAUCAGUAGCCGACCUGAGAGGGUGACCGGCCACACUGGAACUGAGACACGGUCCAGACUCCUACGGGAGGCAGCAGUGGGGAAUAUUGCGCAAUGGGGGGAACCCUGACGCAGCAACGCCGCGUGGAGGAAGAAGGUCUUCGGAUUGUAAACUCCUGUCUUCUGGGACGAAUAAUGACGGUACCAGAGGAGGAAGCCACGGCUAACUACGUG
RNAcentral lists this ribosomal RNA (471 nucleotides) under uncultured bacterium. RNAcentral's name for it is "bacterial SSU rRNA". It matches the Rfam family "Bacterial small subunit ribosomal RNA", at positions 28 to 507 of the family's 1533-position model. The record is from RNAcentral.